UGGGGAAUUUUGGACAAUGGGCGAAAGCCUGAUCCAGCAAUGCCGCGUGUGUGAAGAAGGCCUUCGGGUUGUAAAGCACUUUUGUCCGGAAAGAAAUCCUUGGCUCUAAUACAGUCGGGGGAUGACGGUACCGGAAGAAUAAGCACCGGCUAACUACGUGCCAGCAGCCGCGGUAAUACGUAGGGUGCAAGCGUUAAUCGGAAUUACUGGGCGUAAAGCGUGCGCAGGCGGUUUGCUAAGACCGAUGUGAAAUCCCCGGGCUCAACCUGGGAACUGCAUUGGUGACUGGCAGGCUAGAGUAUGGCAGAGGGGGGUAGAAUUUCCACGUGUAGCAGUGAAAUGCGUAGAGAUGUGGAGGAAUACCGAUGGCGAAGGCAGCCCCCUGGGCCAAUACUGACGCUCAUGCACGAAAGCGUGGGGAGCAAACAGGAUUAGAUACCCUGGUAGUCCACGCCCUAAACGAUGUCAACUAGUUGUUGGGGAUUCAUUUCCUUAGUAACGUAGCUAACGCGUGAAGUUGACCGCCUGGGGAGUACGGUCGCAAGAUUAAAACUCAAAUGAAUUGACGGGGUCAUAGCUGUUUCCU
RNAcentral lists this ribosomal RNA (586 nucleotides) under uncultured bacterium. RNAcentral's name for it is "partial 16S ribosomal RNA". It matches the Rfam family "Bacterial small subunit ribosomal RNA", at positions 355 to 1375 of the family's 1533-position model. The record is from RNAcentral.